AGAUAUGCAAUGAUUGGGACAGUACAUUUUAUUUUUCCUUUAAGAGAGGCGGCGUUCGCUGCGAGCCGUCAGGAGAUACUUUGGAACGCUCCCCAUGAGCAUGCCGGAGAAAUUCGGCCGCGCGCCGCGAUAAAGCACCACGAGUGAGCCCAAUGCUCAUAAAGGUGGUACCACGGGAACUGCUCUCGUCCUUUAC
This 196-nucleotide non-coding RNA is filed under the name Schwartzia succinivorans. RNAcentral's name for it is "T-box sequence". It matches the Rfam family "T-box leader". From Rfam's summary of the family: Uncharged tRNA acts as the effector for transcription antitermination of genes in the T-box leader family. T-boxes are found upstream of many aminoacyl-tRNA synthetase genes and some amino acid biosynthetic genes usually in Gram-positive bacteria. The anticodon of a specific tRNA base pairs to a specifier sequence within the T-box motif, and the NCCA acceptor tail of the tRNA base pairs to a conserved bulge in the T-box antiterminator hairpin. Lineage: Bacteria; Bacillati; Bacillota; Negativicutes; Selenomonadales; Selenomonadaceae. The record is from RNAcentral.